RNAcentral lists this ribosomal RNA (469 nucleotides) under uncultured bacterium. RNAcentral's name for it is "partial 16S ribosomal RNA". It matches the Rfam family "Bacterial small subunit ribosomal RNA", at positions 28 to 507 of the family's 1533-position model. The record is from RNAcentral.
GACGAACGCUGGCGGCGUGCUUAACACAUGCAAGUCGAACGGAAAGGCCCUGCUUGCAGGGUGCUCGAGUGGCGAACGGGUGAGUAACACGUGGGUGAUCUGCCCCUUAUCUUGGGAUAAGCCUGGGAAACUGGGUCUAAUACUGGAUAGGACCAUGCUGUAGGUGGUGUGGUGGAAAGAUUAGUUUCGGUAAGGGAUGAGCUCGCGGCCUAUCAGCUUGUUGGUGGGGUAAUGGCCUACCAAGGCGUCGACGGGUAGCCGGCCUGAGAGGGUGGACGGCCACAUUGGGACUGAGAUACGGCCCAGACUCCUACGGGAGGCAGCAGUGGGGAAUAUUGCACAAUGGGCGCAAGCCUGAUGCAGCGACGCCGCGUGGGGGAUGACGGCCUUCGGGUUGUAAACUCCUUUCAGCCAUGACGAAGCCCUUGUGGUGACGGUAGUGGUAGAAGAAGCACCGGCUAACUACGUG